AAGGCGAAAAUAUGUUGGGAAUAACCAAGGUGCUGAGCAGAACCCACGGCGGAGCUUCCGUGCUCCGCCUCGGGCAGCGGCGGAUGGUCGGCAAAGCGGCGAACCGCGCCGCGGUGCAUGGCUCUAAGCUCCCGGUGCCUAAUGUAAUUCCGGACAAGGAAUUGGAUAUGGAGAUCCACAAAUCUAUAGAAGAAAAGACAAGAAAGAGAAGGGAGAUAGAAAAUACAGUUGAUUCCCAUCUCAAAAACUGGCCACUACUCUACUUUGAACACGUAGUGUGCUCUAAGUAAAGAGCAUGUGACAUUUGUUACAUUUCUUGUCUGCAAAUAAUCUUCAUCACUUGUAUAAAUAUAAUCCCAUCAAUGUAAUGAUAUUUUGACACUUGAAACAUGAAGAUGGAAUGAAUCAGAUUCAUGGCU
Long non-coding RNA from Salvia splendens (bonfire salvia), 419 nucleotides. RefSeq lists it as uncharacterized. NCBI's taxonomy places the organism in Eukaryota, Viridiplantae, Streptophyta, Magnoliopsida, Lamiales, Lamiaceae. The transcript has 2 exons. The record is from RefSeq and is a predicted model, not a curated record.